Molecule: long non-coding RNA, 520 nt
Organism: Aethina tumida (small hive beetle)
Lineage: Eukaryota; Metazoa; Arthropoda; Insecta; Coleoptera; Nitidulidae
Exons: 2
Source: RefSeq, a predicted model, not a curated record
UUGCCAUUUAUUUCAACGGUGGUUCCACAAAUUAAUGUUUUUAAAAUGUACAAAAUUACCAUAUUGUUAAUAUUCUCAGCACUAUGUUUAUCACAAACUUAUGGUUUCACUUGCCAGAAGGCUGGGCAGUUCAUCAUGAAAGGAGUGGGUUGUAGACAGUAUUAUGAAUGUGUAAAAUCCAAAGAAUAUCCAAAAUUGUUUGAAAAAUCUGUUAAGAAAUGUACCGGAAAUACAAUAUUUUACCCAAAUUCUCCCAAAACAGGCAGUUGCAGUUUAUCCGCAAUAUGUAUAGAUUCUAUUUGCACAGGAAGAGAUAAUGGAACGAAAAUUUGCGAUCCAAAUGCUCAUAUAUUGGGUUCAGAGGCAGUAGAAAAGAUUAUGUACAAAUGUACUGGGAAUCCCAUAGCACCUGUACUCAAAAACUGUUUAAUAAAUCCCACAAUUUCGACAUUUUGUGCAGAACAAUGUCUAAAAUAACUAUAAUAAUACGAAGUAAAAUAAUAAAUCAUUGUAAUAAGUA